GGAACCCAAGUAUUGGUCUUCUUACCCACAAGGUUCUCUCACUGGGCCCAGUAAAAGCCAAAGGAAUAAAAGAUUACAUCAAUGCAAUUUUAAAUAAUUGUUUUCUGACAUUUUUCUAACCACGUUCUCUCCCUCCUCUCUCUUCUCUCCUCCACAAGACGUCAGAAAAUAAAUGUUUUCUAGUUGAAAAAUCACAAACCACAAUCACAACAAAAAAAGAUCAGAAGAUGUGCUGCAGUGGAGAAGUAGUAUCCUGAUUUCAGAAAAGAGGAGUGAAGUCUACAAAUUGGUCAUUGUGUCUAACUAUGGUUCCUGACACAAUUUUAGGACAGAGCUUAUAAUUAAAUUGAACUAACCAAAAGGUUUAUAACACAAUAAAUGUGUUGAUUGACUUUUA
Monodelphis domestica (gray short-tailed opossum) is the source of this 397-nucleotide long non-coding RNA. RefSeq lists it as uncharacterized. Lineage: Eukaryota; Metazoa; Chordata; Mammalia; Didelphimorphia; Didelphidae. The record is from RefSeq and is a predicted model, not a curated record.